ACGCUGGCGGCACGCCUAACACAUGCAAGUCGAACGAAGUAGCAAUACUUAGUGGCAGACGGGUGAGUAACAUGUAGGUAUCUGCCCUUUGGCCUGGAAUAACACGAGGAAACUUGUGCUAAUACCGGAUAAGUCUUUACGGAGAAAGCUUUAUGCACCAUUGGAUGAGCCUGCACUUGAUUAGUUUGUUGGUGGGGUAAUGGCCUACCAAGACUGUGAUCAAUAGCUGAUUUGAGAGGAUGAUCAGCCACAUUGGGACUGAGACACGGCCCAAACUCCUACGGGAGGCAGCAGUGGGGAAUCUUGCACAAUGGAGGAAACUCUGAUGCAGCGAUGCCGCGUGAGUGAAGAAGGCCUUUGGGUUGUAAAGCUCUUUCGUCGGGGAAGAAAAUGACUGUACCCGAAUAAGAAGGUCCGGCUAACUUCGUGCCAGCAGCCGCGGUAAUACGAAGGGACCUAGCGUAGUUCGGAAUUACUGGGCUUAAAGAGUUCGUAGGUGGUUGAAAAAGUUGGUGGUGAAAUCCCAGAGCUUAACUCUGGAACUGCCAUCAAAACUUUUCAGCUAGAGUAUGAUAGAGGAAAGCAGAAUUUCUAGUGUAGAGGUGAAAUUCGUAGAUAUUAGAAAGAAUACCAAUUGCGAAGGCAGCUUUCUGGAUCAUUACUGACACUGAGGAACGAAAGCAUGGGUAGCGAAGAGGAUUAGAUACCCUCGUAGUCCAUGCCGUAAACGAUGUGUGUUAGACGUUGGAAAUUUAUUUUCAGUGUCGCAGCGAAAGCGAUAAACACACCGCCUGGGGAGUACGACCGCAAGGUUAAAACUCAAAUGAAUUGACGGGGACCCGCACAAGUAGUGGAGCAUGUGGUUUAAUUCGAAGAUACGCGCAGAACCUUACCAACACUUGACAUGUUCGUCGCGACUCUAAGAGAUUAGAGUUUUCGGUUCGGCCGGACGAAACACAGGUGCUGCAUGGCUGUCGUCAGCUCGUGUCGUGAGAUGCUGGGUUAAGUCCCGCAACGAGCGCAACCCUCACUUUUAGUUGCCAUCAUUAAGUUGGGCACUCUGAAAGAACUGCCAGUGAUAAGCUGGAGGAAGGUGGGGAUGACGUCAAGUCCUCAUGGCCCUUACGUGUUGGGCUACACACGUGCUACAAUGGUAUCUACAACAGGAAGCAAAACUGCGAAGUUAAGCAAAUCCCUAAAAGAUACCUCAGUUCGGAUUGCACUCUGCAACUCGAGUGCAUGAAGCUGGAAUUACUAGUAAUCGUGGAUCAGCGUGCCACGGUGAAUGCGUUCCCGGGUCUUGUACACACCGC
Molecule: ribosomal RNA, 1313 nt
Filed under: uncultured Alphaproteobacteria bacterium
Lineage: Bacteria; Pseudomonadati; Pseudomonadota; Alphaproteobacteria
Description: uncultured alpha proteobacterium 16S ribosomal RNA
Rfam family: Bacterial small subunit ribosomal RNA
Source: RNAcentral